Molecule: ribosomal RNA, 1371 nt
Filed under: uncultured bacterium
Lineage: Bacteria
Description: bacterial SSU rRNA
Rfam family: Bacterial small subunit ribosomal RNA
Source: RNAcentral
GAUGAACGCUGGCGGCGUGCCUAAUACAUGCAAGUCGAGCGAACGGACGAGAAGCUUGCUUCUCUGAUGUUAGCGGCGGACGGGUGAGUAACACGUGGAUAACCUACCUAUAAGACUGGGAUAACUUCGGGAAACCGGAGCUAAUACCGGAUAAUAUUUUGAACCGCAUGGUUCAAAAGUGAAAGACGGUCUUGCUGUCACUUAUAGAUGGAUCCGCGCUGCAUUAGCUAGUUGGUAAGGUAACGGCUUACCAAGGCAACGAUGCAUAGCCGACCUGAGAGGGUGAUCGGCCACACUGGAACUGAGACACGGUCCAGACUCCUACGGGAGGCAGCAGUAGGGAAUCUUCCGCAAUGGGCGAAAGCCUGACGGAGCAACGCCGCGUGAGUGAUGAAGGUCUUCGGAUCGUAAAACUCUGUUAUUAGGGAAGAACAUAUGUGUAAGUAACUGUGCACAUCUUGACGGUACCUAAUCAGAAAGCCACGGCUAACUACGUGCCAGCAGCCGCGGUAAUACGUAGGUGGCAAGCGUUAUCCGGAAUUAUUGGGCGUAAAGCGCGCGUAGGCGGUUUUUUAAGUCUGAUGUGAAAGCCCACGGCUCAACCGUGGAGGGUCAUUGGAAACUGGAAAACUUGAGUGCAGAGAGGAAAGUGGAAUUCCAUGUGUAGCGGUGAAAUGCGCAGAGAUAUGGAGGAACACCAGUGGCGAAGGCGACUUUCUGGUCUGUAACUGACGCUGAUGUGCGAAAGCGUGGGGAUCAAACAGGAUUAGAUACCCUGGUAGUCCACGCCGUAAACGAUGAGUGCUAAGUGUUAGGGGGUUUCCGCCCCUUAGUGCUGCAGCUAACGCAUUAAGCACUCCGCCUGGGGAGUACGACCGCAAGGUUGAAACUCAAAGGAAUUGACGGGGACCCGCACAAGCGGUGGAGCAUGUGGUUUAAUUCGAAGCAACGCGAAGAACCUUACCAAACCUUGACAUCCUUUGACAACUCUAGAGAUAGAGCCUUCCCCUUCGGGGGACAAAGUGACAGGUGGUGCAUGGUUGUCGUCAGCUCGUGUCGUGAGAUGUUGGGUUAAGUCCCGCAACGAGCGCAACCCUUAAGCUUAGUUGCCAUCAUUAAGUUGGGCACUCUAAGUUGACUGCCGGUGACAAACCGGAGGAAGGUGGGGAUGACGUCAAAUCAUCAUGCCCCUUAUGAUUUGGGCUACACACGUGCUACAAUGGACAAUACAAAGGGCAGCGAGACCGCGAGGUCAAGCAAAUCCCAUAAAGUUGUUCUCAGUUCGGAUUGUAGUCUGCAACUCGACUACAUGAAGCUGGAAUCGCUAGUAAUCGUAGAUCAGCAUGCUACGGUGAAUACGUUCCCGGGUCU